GUGGGGAAUAUUGGACAAUGGGCGAAAGCCUGAUCCAGCCAUGCCGCGUGUGUGAAGAAGGUCUUCGGAUUGUAAAGCACUUUAAGUUGGGAGGAAGGGCAGUAAGUUAAUACCUUGCUGUUUUGACGUUACCGACAGAAUAAGCACCGGCUAACUUCGUGCCAGCAGCCGCGGUAAUACGAAGGGUGCAAGCGUUAAUCGGAAUUACUGGGCGUAAAGCGCGCGUAGGUGGUUUUGUAAGUUGGAGGUGAAAUCCCCGGGCUCAGCCUGGGAACUGCCUCCAAAACUGCAUGACUAGAGUACGGUAGAGUGUAGUGGAAUUUCCUGUGUAGCGGUGAAAUGCGUAGAUAUAGGAAGGAACACCAGUGGCGAAGGCGACUACCUGGACUGAUACUGACACUGAGGUGCGAAAGCGUGGGGAGCAAACAGGAUUAGAUACCCGGGUAGUCC
This 450-nucleotide ribosomal RNA is filed under the name uncultured bacterium. RNAcentral's name for it is "partial 16S ribosomal RNA". It matches the Rfam family "Bacterial small subunit ribosomal RNA", at positions 354 to 796 of the family's 1533-position model. The record is from RNAcentral.